UACGUAGGGUGCGAGCGUUGUCCGGAAUUAUUGGGCGUAAAGAGCUUGUAGGCGGUCUGUCGCGUCUGCUGUGAAAAUCCGGGGCUUAACCCCGGACUUGCAGUGGGUACGGGCAGACUAGAGUGUGGUAGGGGAGACUGGAAUUCCUGAUGUAGCGGUGAAAUGCGCAGAUAUCAGGAGGAACACCGAUGGCGAAGGCAGGUCUCUGGGCCACUACUGACGCUGAGAAGCGAAAGCAUGGGGAGCGAACAGG
Molecule: ribosomal RNA, 253 nt
Filed under: uncultured bacterium
Lineage: Bacteria
Description: partial 16S ribosomal RNA
Rfam family: Bacterial small subunit ribosomal RNA
Source: RNAcentral